RNAcentral lists this ribosomal RNA (199 nucleotides) under uncultured bacterium. RNAcentral describes it as "partial 16S ribosomal RNA". It matches the Rfam family "Bacterial small subunit ribosomal RNA", at positions 1302 to 1500 of the family's 1533-position model. The record is from RNAcentral.
AGUCUGCAACUCGACUACAUGAAGCUGGAAUCGCUAGUAAUCGCAAAUCAGAAUGUUGCGGUGAAUACGUUCCCGGGUCUUGUACACACCGCCCGUCACACCACGGGAGUCGGUCGCGCCUGAAGCCGGUGGCCUAUCAGUAAUGGGGGAGCCGUCUAUGGCGAGAUUGGUAACUGGGGUGAAGUCGUAACAAGGUAUC